ACUAAAUGAAUUCCCUUUUUGAAUCCAUUGUAUAUUUCAAUAUUUCGAACCAUGAUCAGCUCACUAUUUCCUGAGCUGGAACUUGCUAACUUCUAUGAUCGUUUUUUCAUGAAAGUUGAGAAGGCCGGGCCUUGGCCUUUUGUUUCUUCAUGAGAAGGUGUGACACUGCCUAUAAAUGUUUCUUACUGUGAAACACUCUGAAUGUGAGGCUGUAGUCAGGGUUGUUUCUGGUACUCGUGUCUAAAUCAGGGUAUUUGACAAUCUCAGAUGAUGCUACUGCCUAUGUGCCAGUUAGUUCAUCUUCCUACCAAGAUCAUGAAUGGCACCACACUAUCCACUAGCUGUACAAUUUACAGAGAAGCACAAGAUUCAUCUUGUCACCUACAAUUCGUCUUGAACAUGUUCAUAUUUAGUAUUUUCUUUAUAUUGAGGUCUACGCACUUCUUGACUUUCCAUUUUGUCUGUAAUUAUAAAACAGCAAAUAACAAAGAAGCAUUGGGACCCCCUCGGCUGCCUUGAUAAUAAAAUCAAGCUUCCUUGGUUUAAAUUAUAAUAGCCCUUCUCAAAACUAAACUACCUUUGUAAAACUAAUGAAAGACCUCCAAGUUAGGAGGAUGAAAGGACCCUGAAUUCCGCUAAGAUGUAGGUAUAAUUAAAUGAUUACCAGCCAUUAUUCCGGAGGUCACAAGAUUUGCAACUUCCCCAAUUACUCCUGUAAAUAACAUCACUAUUGUGGAACCUAAGAUUGGCCUUUUGAGGUGUCUUUUCAGGCUUUUGCAUUUAUUUUAUUUUAUUUUAUUUUAUUUCAUUUUAUUUUAUUUUAUUUUAUUUUAUUGUUUUUGAGACAGGAUCUCAUUCUGUCACCCAGGCUGGAGUGCAGUGGUGCCAUCUCAGCUCACUGCAACCUCUGCUUCCUGGGCUCAAGUGAUCCUCCCCGCUCAGCCUCCAGAGUAGCUAGGACCACAGGCAUGCAGCACCACACCAGACUACCUUUUUGUGUUUGGGUAGAGAUGGGGUUUCACCAUGUUGCCUAGGCUGGUCUCAAACUCCUGAGCUCAAACAAUUUCCUGGCUUUGGCCUCACAAAGUGCUGGGAUUACAGGCUUGAGCCACCGUGCCCAACUGGCUUUUGCAUUUCUGACUGUUGCAUGGCCCCAGUCAGACCAGCAAUUCCCCUGUGAUCCCCCAACCAGAAGUGGACUCCACAUGCAAGGACCAUUUUCCACACUCCUAUGAUUGCAUCUCCAACCAAUCAGCAGGAUCCUUACCCUAGCCCUCUGCCUAUCAAACUCUCCUUUUGAAAACCUUAGCCUUCUAAUUUUGAGGGAGGCUGACUUGAGUGAUAAUAAAACUCAGGUCUUCCGUUUAGCUAGCUCUACGUGUAUUGAAUUCUUUCUCUGUUGCAAUUCUCCUAUCUUGAUAAAAUGGCUCUAUCUGGGCAGCAGGCAAGUAGAACCCAUUGGGCACUUACAGUGUGACCAUAGCUUGCUGUAGCCUUGAACUCUUGGUCUCAAGUGAUCCGCCAACUCGGCCUCCCAAAAUGCUGGAAUUAUAGGCGUGAGCCACCUUGUCCGGCCAAGCCACCUCCCAUUCUGUUCAAAGUCAUCCCUCUGCUCACUGAGAUAAAUGCAUAUCUGAUUGCCUCCUUUGGAAAGACUAAUUAGAAACUCAAAAGAAUGUAACCAUUUGUCUCUUACCUACCUAUUACCUGGAAGCCCCCUCCCUGCUUCGAGUUGUCCCACCUUUCUGGACCGAACCAUUAUUCAUCUUACAUG
Molecule: long non-coding RNA, 1774 nt
Filed under: Homo sapiens (human)
Lineage: Eukaryota; Metazoa; Chordata; Mammalia; Primates; Hominidae
Description: non-protein coding lnc-ZC3H12B-2:4
Source: RNAcentral